RNAcentral lists this ribosomal RNA (332 nucleotides) under uncultured bacterium. RNAcentral describes it as "bacterial SSU rRNA". It matches the Rfam family "Bacterial small subunit ribosomal RNA", at positions 568 to 898 of the family's 1533-position model. The record is from RNAcentral.
AGUGUAGGCGGGAUCGUAAGUUAGGAGUUUAAUGCAUGGGCUUAACCCAUGAUCUGCUUUUAAUACUGCGGUUCUUGAGUAUGGGAGAGGGCGAUGGAAUUCCAGGUGUAGCAGUGGAAUGCGUAGAUAUCUGGAAGAACACCAGUAGCGAAGGCGGUCGCCUGGCCCAAUACUGACGCUGAUGCUCGAAAGCUAGGGGAGCAAACAGGAUUAGAUACCCUGGUAGUCCUAGCCGUAAACGAUGGACACUAGUUGCUGGAGGAGUCAAUCCUUUCGGUGACGAAGCUAACGCAUUAAGUGUCCCGCCUGGGAAGUACGCUCGCAAGGGUGAA